RNAcentral lists this ribosomal RNA (425 nucleotides) under uncultured bacterium. Its description in RNAcentral is "partial 16S ribosomal RNA". It matches the Rfam family "Bacterial small subunit ribosomal RNA", at positions 354 to 796 of the family's 1533-position model. The record is from RNAcentral.
GUGGGGAAUAUUGGACAAUGGGCGCAAGCCUGAUCCAGCCAUGCCGCGUGAGUGAUGAAGGCCUUAGGGUUGUAAAGCUCUUUCAGUAGGGAAGAUAAUGACGGUACCUACAGAAGAAGCCCCGGCUAACUUCGUGCCAGCAGCCGCGGUAAUACGAAGGGGGCUAGCGUUGUUCGGAUUUACUGGGCGUAAAGCGCACGUAGGCGGAUUGGUCAGUUAGAGGUGAAAUCCCGAAGCUCAACUUCGGAACUGCCUUUAAUACUGCCAGUCUCGAGUCCGGAAGAGGUGAGUGGAACUCCUAGUGUAGAGGUGGAAUUCGUAGAUAUUAGGAAGAACACCAGUGGCGAAGGCGGCUCACUGGUCUGGUACUGACGCUGAGGUGCGAAAGCGUGGGGAGCAAACAGGAUUAGAUACCCGGGUAGUCC